RNAcentral lists this long non-coding RNA (1185 nucleotides) under Numida meleagris (helmeted guineafowl). Its description in RNAcentral is "lncRNA (ENSNMEG00000011377.1)". Lineage: Eukaryota; Metazoa; Chordata; Aves; Galliformes; Numididae. The record is from RNAcentral.
AUGGGUCCCCAUGAAGGGCUGUGGGGCGCCGAUGGGACACUCCGUCCCCGUGCCGUCUCCAUGGCUCCGCCGUGGCAUGCGUCUGCAGCGGGGAAGUGCAGCUAUGUCUUUAAGAAGGGCCUGGGCUGGGGUGGGAGAAGCAUUUCCACGCAGCCUUUCUCCCGGCAAACCUGGAGCGAGUUAGCAGCCAAGUUCGCCCCGCCGCCGUCAGCCAGCUCGCCCCACUGGGAGCCACGGUGCCAUGAGGACACGGGGCAUGGGGCAGCCCUCGGCCCCCACAGUCCCCAGCCCCGUGGGGAGAGGAAGAGGAGGAGGCCGAGCUGGGUAUGUAGUUCUACCCUCGACUUGCAGUCCCACUUUGGGGCGGGUCCGGCAGCUCUGCGGGGUGAGGACAGGGAGCGCGGUGUGUCCCCAGCACUGGGUGCUUCCUCCUCCUCCUCCCCCUCCUUGCAGCUCUGCCUGGGAGACUCCAUCGGGAGGGGAGGUGCCCCCAUACCCCCACCUCACUGCCACAUUCCUGGCUCCAGGGUGGGGGCUCCGGGUGGGAUCAGGCAGCGGUGCUGUGACACAGGGGACAGCGUGCCGGUGCCAUGCCCUGCACCCCAGCAGGGUCACUGCCACCGCGUCCCCCUCCACGGGCUCAUGCGUUGCAGGGAGGACAUGGCAGCACGUGGCUCUCAGCUGGGUGGUUUUUGGUUGCACUCACUUCUCACAAGCUGGAAGCAGCUCUGGUGGCAGAGGACGUGGGCACAGGUUUUGGGGUGCCUGCAGAUGGGGUACCCGCGUCCCUGGGUGGGCUGCACCUCUUUGCGUGGGCAGCAGAGAGCUCGCAGCUGGUCCUGUGCUCAUGGCACUGCGAGGGGGGGGGCACCCGGGUUGUGGAGUGGGGAAACUGGCGCUGCUGAGCGGGAGGAAUCCCAGGAAUGCAGAACCCAGAGGGGACACGAGGUGGCACGACAGCCUCAGCUCGCGUUUUGGGAUCCGAGACCAGAGCGGUGCCAGGGGCCGCUUCGGGGUCACCUUCAGUGGGGCAAACAGCGGGGUGCGGGCACGGGGCUCCCGACCCCCCCAGUGCUCCCAGCUCCCCACAGCCACCCACAUCGCUUUGGGCUGCAUGGGGCUGCAUGGGGCUGCAUGGGGCCCCGGUCCCGCUCCCGCUCCCCCCGUCCUUGGCUCGGGCCCUGA